AUGCCUCGUGCCUCGCUCGGCUUGUCUUUCGCUUUUCAGGUCUUGAGCUGGAUGCAACUUUUCUCAAUUUGGGUAAUGUUUGUAAGGGGCUAAAGCAAACACGGUUUCCUUUGAGUGCGAUUACAUCUGGCUCGUGCCUAUGGUGGUAUUGUAAUUAUAAACCUAGACAUUU
RNAcentral lists this small nucleolar RNA (172 nucleotides) under Meyerozyma guilliermondii ATCC 6260. The record is from RNAcentral. Lineage: Eukaryota; Fungi; Ascomycota; Pichiomycetes; Serinales; Debaryomycetaceae.